This 379-nucleotide ribosomal RNA is filed under the name uncultured bacterium. RNAcentral's name for it is "partial 16S ribosomal RNA". It matches the Rfam family "Bacterial small subunit ribosomal RNA", at positions 338 to 734 of the family's 1533-position model. The record is from RNAcentral.
CCUACGGGGGGCAGCAGUGGGGGAUAUUGCACAAUGGGCGCAACCCUGAUGCAGCGACGCCGCGUGGGUGAAGAAGCGCCUCGGCGCGUAAAGCACUUUCAGCAGGGAAGAAAAUGCCGGUACUUGAAGACGAAGCACCGGCUAACUACGUGCCAGCAGCCGCGGGAAUACGCAGGGGGCAAGCGUUAUCCGGAUUUACUGGGGGUAAAGGGGGCGCAGACGGCGGUGCAAGACAGGAGCGAAAGCCCGGGGCCCAACCCCGGGACUGCACUUGGAACUGAGUGGCUGGAGUGCAGCAGGGGGAGGCGGAAUUCCUGGUGUAGCGGUGAAAUGCGUAGAUAUCAGGAGGAACACCGGUGGCGAAGGCGGCCUGCUGGAC